Diachasmimorpha longicaudata is the source of this 3050-nucleotide RNA transcript. It is a transcript of the gene named transmembrane protein 18-like, with no coding region annotated. The record is from RefSeq and is a predicted model, not a curated record. The transcript is spliced from 4 exons. Lineage: Eukaryota; Metazoa; Arthropoda; Insecta; Hymenoptera; Braconidae.
CUCCUUCACGUCGGUUUAGCGCUACAUUGUUGAUAAAUUCUUCUGCAUUGCAAAUUCGACUUAGAUAUAGACACCUUAAUACGAGACAGACACAUCUCUGCAGGGAAUCCAGAGAACUUACGCCCGUUUGUUCUGAAAUUAUUAAUAUUUAAUCACUAAUCGCUGAUCAUGAUUCACCGCCGUUCGGUGUUUUUCGCCGUUGGACUUCUGAUUUAUGAACACUCCAUUGGCGACUGACUCAAUGAUCAGAGUCAUUCGUAUUCGGCCCCUGGCGAUACUUUGGACCUUAGAGAGAUUUAUAAGGAUUUACGGUGCAAUUAGUUUUUUUAUUAUUACGGUAUGAACAUGCAAAAAUUGUGCAUAAUGGCUAUCAAUGACGGGAUAAAAAAAACGAGAUUUUUCUCAAGGUGGAGUUUUUAUCAAAUUGCAAGACGACAAAUACACAAUUAGAAAUUUAUUGUGGUACAUUUUGUUAGAAGUUUCCUGAAUCAAUUCAGGAAGUUAAAAUGCAGAAUUAAAAAAUUAAGACACUCAUUACCACGAAAAUUAUUCAAUAUUCAAUUAUCCCCCCAUACGAUGGGUUCGAACUGUCAAGUUUGUGUUAUCGGAAGUCUUAGCAAUCGAGCUACUGUGUGAUACCGUUAUUGAAAGCAAUUGAAAUCGGUUUACAAAAAAUUAUCAGCGGUCAUUAAUUUUUUUUCCCUCAAAUAUCAUGAGCAAAAGCUCUGAUCCCGGUAUCUAAAAAAUUAUGAGUAAUAACUAAGAUUGUCAUAUAAAUUUCGAUAAUUUUUUUAACGUCUACGAAACACUGUUCAAAUUCACACUAAUUAAAUCAAAUGCUCCCAAAUGUGCGAAAUCAAACGAUAAGACAAUGAUUUUCUAAAUCAUUUUACUCAAUUUUAACGUCUAUAUUGGGUACGAAUGUCACAUAUGACAUAAACAGAUUUUCUGUUUCUCCUAAAACGCCCUAAGACCCUCCGGCGUGCGUCGUUGUAUAAGAUACCUUCCGAAAUUCCCUGAAAUUUCGAGGCCCCUACCAUUGACCCAACGCCGUGAGUAGGGACGACUUUUUCAUAAGAGACGCGCGUAUCGAACGAACAGUGCAACAAAACUAACCUCCAACAGCUAACUUUGAUACCUAAUCAUCAUGUCCAAAGCGCCUUCGACAUCAUCAGAGCCUCCAGUCCCAUCCUUAAUGUCACUUCGAAAGAAAACCCGGAAGAGCUACUCAUUUCAGGAGAAAGCAGCGAUGAUAAAUGCCUUAGAAACAAAACCUCUCACAACAGUAGCUCGAAAGAAUGAUAUCAACGAAAAAUUACUUUACAAAUGGAAGAGGAACCACGAUUUGAUUUUGGAAGCUGCAGAGAGUGAACUUCUCGCUGGAAAAAAAAAGAACAAGCCCAUAAACGAGGAGCUGGAGGAUCACCUCUACAAUUGGUUUGUGAAGGCCAGAUCGGCUGGAAUAGCUGUGAGUGGGCCGAUAGUACGAGCAGUGGCCCUAGAUCUCAACAAGCAGCUGGGUGGUAAGGAGACAUUCAAAGCUAGUCACGGAUGGUUAGACAGGUGGAAGAAACACAAGAACAUUCGAUUUCCUCGCGAAAGAUCGUCGCCUAGAGAUAGCGCAGAAUCUUUCGACCACGAGGCACCGGACGCAACAGAAGAACAAAAUUUCAUAAAGACUGAAGAGAUAUCUCCUCCAGGCAGUCCAGACCUUGACGCUGAUGAUCACAAGGACUUUGUCGUGGAAUGGCUUCCGAUACCCCCAGCGUCAGCACCUCUUGUUGAUAAUUUCGAAACAGAAAUCCGUGUGAAAGAGGAACCUGCCAGUAGUUUUGAUGAGAGCUUUGUGAAAAUUGAGAGAGUGUCUCCAUCAGGAAGUCCUAGGUCUGAAGAGGCUGAUGACAGAGCCUGGACAACUGCAUCGCCGUCCACUCAUGGAGAAACGUCCCCUCCAAGGACUAUCAGUCCCGUUUUCGAGGAUGAUGGAGAAUUCUCAAGGAAAUCAAGGAGGAGUUACUCUUUUCAGGAGAAAGCGGAUAUCGUGACACUUUUGAAAACUAGAUCUGCCUCAGACGUAGCCCUAGAGACUGGUAUUCAUUACCGAUUACUGUACAAGUGGAUGAAAAAUGAGGCGUUGAUCGUGGAAGCUUCCAAGCGAGAGGAUUUAUCAGGAAGAAAGCAGAAGGUGCACAGAAAUGAAGAAUUGGCUGAUCAUGUGUACAAUUGGUACCAGGCAGCACAAUCAGCUGGCAUUCACGUCACUGGGCCAAUUAUAAAGGCAGUGGCACUGGACUUGAAUAGACAGCUGGGUGGCAAGGAGACAUUUAAAGCCAGCUGUGGAUGGCUCGGCCAGUGGAAGAGAUUCAAAAAUGUUGUACUACCAAAACCGUCGGUCAAGCCAUUCUCCUAUGCGACUGCUAGAAGUAGGGAGAACCCGUCCCGAGAAGUAAUUGCUACAGAGAAUUUUAUAAAGCCUGAACCUACUGUCGAGGAUGGGUCUCUCCCAGGUAGUUCCACUGGAGGCGGAGAGGAACACACGGGAUUCAUAACUGAAUGGCUUCCGAUGUCUGAAGAGGUGUCUCCUCCAAGCAGUCCAGACUUCCAGGAAACUUAUGAGACUGUGGGGCCGACUCGGAGAAGUUACUCUUUUGCUGUAAAAGCCAAGGUUCUGAAAGCUUUGGAAACUGAAUCUCACAAAGUUGUAGCACGGAAGUUCGGCAUCAAUGCAAAGACGAUGUACAGGUGGAAGAGAGAUCGUUUGAAGAUUCUGGAAGCUGCGAAAAGAGAUAGCAGAAUGAGGAAGAGCAGGAACAGGCUUGGAAAAUUCCAAAACUGCGCCACAAGUUCGGCAGAUUCAACGGAUUCUGACAGCGAACUUGAGGAUGACAGCUGCGAAACAUCUGAUAGUGAUUGAAUGGAGGGAUCCAUGGUUAGCACUUCUCCUCGUCUUUCACGUUGCAGUUACCAUGACUGCCUUAAUGACCCGAAAUCACGCCAACUUCCAAAUAUUGUUAUUCCUCGUAUUACUUUUACUCGUCUACUUCUCGGAG